RNAcentral lists this ribosomal RNA (406 nucleotides) under Candidatus Cardinium sp. RNAcentral's name for it is "bacterial SSU rRNA". It matches the Rfam family "Bacterial small subunit ribosomal RNA", at positions 234 to 637 of the family's 1533-position model. Lineage: Bacteria; Pseudomonadati; Bacteroidota; Cytophagia; Cytophagales; Amoebophilaceae. The record is from RNAcentral.
CGUCCUAUUAGCUAGUUGGUGAGGUAAUGGCUCACCAAGGCUACCAUGGGUAGGGGUUCUUAGUGGAAGGUCCCCCACACUGGCACUGAGAUACGGGCCAGACUCCUACGGGAGGCAGCGGUAGGGAAUCUUGGCCAAUGGGCACAAGCCUGAACCAGCCAUGCCGCGUGCAGGAUGAAGGCUCUCUGAGUUGUAAACUGCUUUUGUACAGGAGCAAAAAAAUCCCUGCGGGGGUUCUUGAGAGUACUGUAAGAAUAAGCACCGGCUAAUUCCGUGCCAGCAGCCGCGGUAAUACGGGAGGUGCAAGCGUUAUCCGGUUUUAUUGGGUUUAAAGGGUGCGUAGGCGGCUUAUUAAGUCAGUUGUGAAAUCCUAGUGCUUAACGCUAGAACUGCGAUUGAUACUAUU